CCGAGUUUACAACUCCCAAACCCCUGUGAACAUACCACUUGUUGCCUCGGCGGAUCAGCCCGCUCCCGGUAAAACGGGACGGCCCGCCCGAGGACCCCUAAACUCUGUUUCUAUAUGUAACUUCUGAGUAAAACAACAAAUAAAUCA
RNAcentral lists this unclassified non-coding RNA (147 nucleotides) under soil metagenome. RNAcentral's name for it is "partial internal transcribed spacer 1". The record is from RNAcentral.